Molecule: non-coding RNA, 222 nt
Filed under: Rhodella violacea
Lineage: Eukaryota; Rhodophyta; Rhodellophyceae; Rhodellales; Rhodellaceae
Source: RNAcentral
UCUGAUGCGGGUGAGGAAGGUCCGGACGACAAAGGCCCUGGCGAUGACUACUGCGCGUGUGACUUUGUCGGCACAGAGAAAAACGCGAUCUGCUUGGAUUUUGCGGGGCCGAUUCCGGGAGUCGAUAAUGAGGUGCUGUGCUCGCCCAAGGCUUGCGUGGUGAAGCCUGGCCUGAAGUGUGUGGAAGGCGGUAGCAAGAUUUGCACCACUAAGAUGGUGACC